CUGAUCUUCAUGGUGAUGGUGGUGAAACACAAACAAAACUAGCCCUGCAAUCAAGAACAUCCCAAGAAGCGCCCAGAUCCACUGCGAUAACUUCCUUCUAACCGGGCGCCGGUAGUCGGCCGCCCGCCUCCGCAUCUUUCUCCGAUCCGCUCUCCACAAUUCACAGCCAAAUAAUCAAGAUUUCAAAUCCACGCAUAUCCCAGAUUAACAAUACAAUCAAGAAACGAUAAAAACGUCACCAAAGCUAUAAUAGGAAUGAAGAACUCAUCAACAGCAUCACAUAGGAUAUACACAUAGCAGCCCACAAAUCAAGAAUUAAAAAAUGAGGAGACAAAGGAAUAAUCAAGAAGCAAUAACAAAUAACUGAUAAGCAAUGACCGGAGAAACAGGAANNNNNNNNNUUUCAAUCAAAUAUAACAAGAAAUGUGACGGUGAUCUAGGUUUGAACAGUAUAUGAAUUCAAUCAAAGAUGGGCUCCUCUUGUUUUUGAAUUUGGUG
This 498-nucleotide unclassified non-coding RNA is filed under the name Hevea brasiliensis (rubber tree). Lineage: Eukaryota; Viridiplantae; Streptophyta; Magnoliopsida; Malpighiales; Euphorbiaceae. The record is from RNAcentral.